AGUGUAAGCUGGGGCCGAGGCCCAGGCUCGGGGUGGGGGUGGGGGGGUCCGGGUGGGGAUCUGGGUCGGGGUCGGGGUCGGGGUCGGGGUGGGGGUGGGGCCGCGGCGGCUGCGGCUGUGGCGGCGCUAGAGCGCUGGGAUGCUGGCUCCGGGGCCACUGCCUGGGGCGCUGCAGUUCCCUCCAGCGCCCCCGCGAGGCCUGGGGCGGCGGCGCUCCUCCUGGCGGCAGAUACAGACUUCCCAGAGCCGGUCGCCCAACCUCGUGACUAAGCCUUUCUCUCUUCGCGUGCGGCUGGAGGAGACUGGAGAGAUAUACCGGCUGUCCAGCUGCAAUGGCUACACCACCGUGCGGGAGCUGAAGGAGGAGUUAGAUCUGCUGGCCGGGAUUCCCUUCCACUUCCAAUGCCUCUUGUACCUGGAUCAAGGAAUUUUGAUGGAUGAUUCCACAUUAGGGUUCCAUGAUGUUGUUCCUGGGGGAAUUAUUUCAAUGUGUAUUUGGCAUCAGGAUGGAUGGCAAGAACUUGUUUUGGCUGCUCUGGAAGGGGACGCUAGUAAGCUAUCUUGUCUAGGUGUUACCGAAGACUCUCUAUACAGAACUCCACACUCUAUACGUUUAAGAGCAGAGAAUUAUAAGGAAUGGAUAGCUGAGAGAGCAUUUGUGGCUUUGUAUGUCGCGACACAUAGAGGCCACUUCGAAGCUGCACGUUUUCUCCUAGAAAAUGGUGCCAGUUGUCUGGCCAAAACACCAGUGGGCAGAACCGCUCUUCAUGUUGCUGCCGCCAUGGGACAUGUGAACUGUAUAAAUCUACUUCUCGAUUAUGGGGCACCUCUCACUGAGAAAGAUUUAAAGGGAGAGACGCCAGUCGAAAUAGCACGCCGCCUGAAGCGUACACCAAUCAGCUAUAUCUUAUGGAAAAGAAAGUGUGCUGGCACACCUGGAAGACACAAGAAGUAAAAGUGUGGCAGAGUCUGGAGUCCCUGGUGCUCCUGUGUGUUGUAAUGCCUGGAACCGUACAUGUAUAUCGCAAAAUUUGGAAAUAUUUUUGACUGAAGAAGAAAAUUCGAUUAAUUUGCUGGAGAAUGGACAGUACUACAGUGCAUUGUGGAAUCUGCAGUCAGUUAUUGAAGCUUCCAGCAGAGGGCACUGUGGGAUCAGUCAAUAUUCAGAUAAACUCCGGUUUUUAUAAGUGCAUAUUAAAAUACUCUAAGUAUUGCAAAUUAUGU
RNA transcript from Trichosurus vulpecula (common brushtail), 1224 nucleotides. It is a transcript of the gene named ankyrin repeat domain 60, with no coding region annotated. The transcript has 6 exons. The record is from RefSeq and is a predicted model, not a curated record. Lineage: Eukaryota; Metazoa; Chordata; Mammalia; Diprotodontia; Phalangeridae.